GUAGGUGAACCUGCGGAAGGAUCAUUACCGAAUCGCCAAACACGGGUUGUUGCUGGCCCCCAAACCGGGCACGUGCACGCCCUGUUUACGCAUCCACUCACACCUGUGCACCCUCUGUAGUUCUGUGGACCGGGAGACGUCGUCUUCCUUCCGUGGCUCUACGUCUUUACACACACGCCGUAGCGAAGUCUCAUGGAAUGUUUUUCGCGUUUAACGCAAUACAAUACAACUUUCAGCAACGGAUCUCUUG
RNAcentral lists this unclassified non-coding RNA (250 nucleotides) under plant metagenome. RNAcentral's name for it is "partial contains small subunit ribosomal RNA, internal transcribed spacer 1, and 5.8S ribosomal RNA". The record is from RNAcentral.